UACGAAGGGGGCUAGCGUUGUUCGGAAUUACUGGGCGUAAAGCGUGCGCAGGCGGUUAUGUAAGACAGAUGUGAAAUGCCCGGGCUUAACCUGGGAACUGCAUUUGUGACUGCAUGGCUAGAAUCUGGCAGAGGGGGGUAGAAUUCCACGUGUAGCAGUGAAAUGCGUAGAUAUGUGGAGGAACACCGAUGGCGAAGGCAGCCCCCUGGGUCAAGAUUGACGCUCAUGCACGAAAGCGUGGGGAGCAAACAGG
This 253-nucleotide ribosomal RNA is filed under the name uncultured bacterium. RNAcentral's name for it is "partial 16S ribosomal RNA". It matches the Rfam family "Bacterial small subunit ribosomal RNA", at positions 524 to 776 of the family's 1533-position model. The record is from RNAcentral.